GACGAACGCUGGCGGCGUGCUUAACACAUGCAAGUCGAACGGAAAGGCCCUGCUUUUGUGGGGUGCUCGAGUGGCGAACGGGUGAGUAACACGUGAGUAACCUGCCCUUGACUUUGGGAUAACUUCAGGAAACUGGGGCUAAUACCGGAUAGGAGCUCCUGCUGCAUGUUGGGGGUUGGAGAGUUUCGGCGGUUGGGGAUGGACUCGCGGCUUAUCAGCUUGUUGGUGGGGUAGUGGCUUACCAAGGCUUUGACGGGUAGCCGGCCUGAGAGGGUUACCGGCCACAUUGGGACUGAGAUACGGCCCAGACUCCUACGGGAGGCAGCAGUGGGGAAUAUUGCACAAUGGGCGGAAGCCUGAUGCAGCAACGCCGCGUGCGGGAUGACGGCCUUCGGGUUGUAAACCGCUUUCGCCUGUGACGAAGCGUGAGUGACGGUAAUGGGUAAAGAAGCACCGGCUAACUACGUG
RNAcentral lists this ribosomal RNA (468 nucleotides) under uncultured bacterium. RNAcentral describes it as "partial 16S ribosomal RNA". It matches the Rfam family "Bacterial small subunit ribosomal RNA", at positions 28 to 507 of the family's 1533-position model. The record is from RNAcentral.